This 218-nucleotide unclassified non-coding RNA is filed under the name uncultured Basidiomycota. RNAcentral's name for it is "sequence contains ITS2". The record is from RNAcentral. Lineage: Eukaryota; Fungi; Basidiomycota.
GACCUCUCAACCGCUUUGGUAUUCGAUUACAAAAGUCGGCUUGGAACUUGGGUGCCUCAGGCGAAACGCACAGGGUCCGCCCUGUCGCCCACCCCAAAGUCAGUUGGGCCAACCGCGCGGAUGAGCGGACGGUUUGACCACAGUGUUGUAAGGUUCGCCUCACUGUCGGGACGUCCAUUUCCGUUAGCACGAAGGCAUUUGAAACACGAUACUAUUGA